Non-coding RNA from Agrilus planipennis (emerald ash borer), 191 nucleotides. The record is from Rfam. Lineage: Eukaryota; Metazoa; Arthropoda; Insecta; Coleoptera; Buprestidae.
ACAUAAUAUAAAAACCACAAUCACAUAAUACACAAACACAUACGGCUGAAGAGGACCUAAUUGGUCCUAAAACGGCCUGAGGUAGAGGGGUUUUAGUCGGUAGGUCCGAGGACUCCUUCCUCGGGAAUCCGACACUACCCAGUCGUACGGACGGCUGGGUGUCUUUUGAAGAUUUCCCCUCUUCCACGAAA